UGGCGGCGUGUCUUACCAUGCAGUCGAGCGGACUUAUGGGGUAACUUAUAAGUCAGCGGCGGACGGCGGAGUAACACGUAGCUAACUACCCCUCUGGACGGGGAUAACCUACCGAAAGGUGGGCUAAUACCCGAUGUAGUCAUCCUGUAUAGGGGUGAUGAAAGGUGGGCUUCUGUUUACAAGCUCAUGCUGGAGGAGGGGGCUGCGGCCUAUCAGGUAGUUGGUAGGGUAAUAGCCUACCAAGCCGAUGACGGGUAGCCGGCCUGAGAGGGUGACCGGCCCGAGGGGCACUGAGAUACGGGUCCCACUCCUACGGGAGGCAGCAGGCUAGAAAUUUGGGCAAUGGGGGAAACCCUGACCCAGUGACGCCGCGUGCAGGAAGGAGCCCUUCGGGGUGUAAACUGCUGUCGUGUAGGGAGAAGGGUACUAAGGUGAACAAUCUUAGUACUUGACGGUACUACAGGAGGAAGCCCAGGCUAACCUCGUGCCAGCAGCCGCGGUAAUACGGGGUGGGCGAGCGUUGCCCGGAAUUACUGGGUUUAAAGGGGGUGUAGGCGGUCUGGAUAGUCGGGUGUGUAAUGCAAUCGCUCAACGAUUGAGCUGCAUCUGAUACUUCCAGGCUAGAGGGCGGUAGAGGAGAGCGGAACUCCCGGUGUAGCGGUGAAAUGCGUAGAUAUCGGGAGGAACGCCGGUGGCGAAGGCGGCUCUCUGGGCCGUUCCUGACGCUGAGGCCCGAAAGCUGGGGGAGCGAAAGGGAUUAGAUACCCCGGUAGUCCUAGCCGUAAACGAUGGACACUGGAUAUUCCGGCAUUUCUGCUGGAGUGUCGUAGCUAACGCGUUAAGUGUCCCGCCUGGGGAGUACGAUCGCAAGGUUGAAACUCGAAGGAAUUGACGGGGGCCCGCACAAGCGGUGGAGCAUGUGGUUUAAUUCGACGCUACGCGAAGAACCUUACCUGGGCUUGAACUGCUGGUGGUAGAAGCCCGAAAGGGUAACGACCCGGAGCAAUCCGGGAGCCAGUAGAGGUGCUGCAUGGCUGUCGUCAGCUCGUGUCGUGAGAUGUUGGGUUAAGUCCCGCAACGAGCGCAACCCUUACCCUUAGUUGCCAGCGGGUAAUGCCGGGCACUCUAAGGGGACCGCCCCGGAUAACGGGGAGGAAGGCGGGGAUGACGUCAAGUCAGCAUGGCCUUUAUGUCCAGGGCUACACACGUGCUACAAUGGACGGUACAGAGGGAAGCAAGGCCGCAAGGUAGAGCUAAUCCCUAAAGCCGUCCUCAGUUCGGAUUGCAGGCUGCAACUCGCCUGCAUGAAGUCGGAAUCGCUAGUAAUCGCGGAUCAGCUACGCCGCG
RNAcentral lists this ribosomal RNA (1347 nucleotides) under uncultured bacterium. RNAcentral describes it as "bacterial SSU rRNA". It matches the Rfam family "Bacterial small subunit ribosomal RNA", at positions 37 to 1361 of the family's 1533-position model. The record is from RNAcentral.